GAAAGCUUUAUGAUGCACACUCCCCUUGUGAUGUCCAGCAAAAAGACAUUACAUUUGGGCUUUUUCCCUUCCUGCUUCCCAUGAGCAAUGGUUCAUCAGGCUCAGACCGGAGACAUUCGCACACUCUGUAUUUCAGAUGGGAAUUCUUCUUAAUGAUGGUUUCAAAACACUCAGUGGAUGAUUCCAAUGAAAGGACAGCGGAAUAGCGGGGACCCAUCAAAAAUCUGGAAACAUUUCUAAUUCUGCUGUGGCCAUUUCUGGAACAGAAUUCCCACUAAAUCACCAUGGCACUUAAAUAAGUGAAAACUGCCCGAUGGUUUCCCCUGAAACAUUGCUGUUGAAUGACACUGCCCCGAGGGGCUGGAAAAAUUGAGAAGCACCCUGACAUUAUGAGCGCUUGCUGGGGAUGAUGGCUUUGGUAAAAUUUGCUUGAUGAUAGCUCAGAUUGUUAGCUGCUGCUCUCUGACAUUACAGUUUGUAUCGAUACGUGGCAUACAGCAUGCAAUUUCUUCAUAUGGAAGCUUUAGAAAACAGUAACUUCUGACGCAAUCUCGAGCUGAUUUCAGAAGCAAAGCCCAAGAAAUUAUACUGUUUCAGAACCACCAGCUGUUUGCACCCUUGGACACGCUGAGAUACUUUAUGGGCUGUCAUUUCCGUGGUUGCAAUGAAC
RNAcentral lists this long non-coding RNA (670 nucleotides) under Gallus gallus (chicken). The record is from RNAcentral. Lineage: Eukaryota; Metazoa; Chordata; Aves; Galliformes; Phasianidae.